UAAUUAAAUUUUAUUAUAUUUAUUUAUUUAUAAUAAUAAUUAAUAAAAAUAAUUUUAAUAAUUUUAUUUUAAGUAUAUUAUAUAAAAAUAAUAAUUUAAAUUAUAGUUUAAAGUAUUGUAAAAGAAUAAUUAUUUAUUAUUAAAGUAAAUUUGAUUUAUUGUACCUUUUGUAUCAGGGCUUAUUAAAUAAAAAUUAUUUAAUUUAAUUUUCUCGAAUUUAAAAGAGCUAAAUUAAUAUAAAAUUUAUUGUUUUAUAAAUAUUUUUAAUAUUAAUUUAGUAAUGAAAUGUUAAUCGUUUUUAAAUAUAUCUAGUUUUUUAAGAAUUAAAUUUAAUUUAGUAUAUUUAUAAAAAAUUAUUUUUUUAGAAAAAUAAUUUUUAUUUGUAUAAAAAUUAAUUAGGGAUUAGCUUAAUUAAUUUAAUUAUAAAUUUUGUAUUAGAUAAAAUAUAAUAGGAAUAAAAAUUUUCAUUUAUAAAUAAAGUGUUAUAAUUAAUUUAUUUAAAAAAAAAUUUAUUUGAUUUUAAUUUAUUUAUUAAAAUAAUAAAUUUAAUAAUUUAUUUAUUAAAUAAUGAUAAGAUUAGUAUUAAUUUAUUUAAAAAUAAAAAAUAUUAUUAAGAUUAAAAUAAGGAAUUCAGCAAAAAUAAUACUCACCUGUUUAACAAAAACAUGUCUUUUAGAUUAUAAUUUAAAGUCUAACCUGCCCACUGAUUUUAUUAAAGGGCCGCGGUAUAUUGACUGUGCAAAGGUAGCAUAAUCAUUUGUCUUUUAAUUGAAGGCUAGAAUGAAUGGUUGAAUGAAGUAUUAACUGUCUCAUUUUAAUAAAUUAAAAAUUUAAUUUUUUAGUUAAAAAGCUAAAAUUUUUUUAAAGGACGAGAAGACCCUAUAGAUCUUUAUAUUUUAAUUUUAUAUAAAAUUUAGUUUAAAAUAAUUUAUUUUUAAUUAAAAUAUUUUGUUGGGGUGAUAAUAAAAUUAAAUUAACUUUUAAAUUUUAACCAUUGAUAUAUGAAUAAUUGAUCCUUUUUUAAAGAUUAAAAAUUUAAGUUACCUUAGGGAUAACAGCGUAAUUUUUUUUGAGAGUUCUUAUCGAUAAAAAAGAUUGCGACCUCGAUGUUGAAUUAAAGGUUAUUUUUAAAUGUAGCAGUUUAAAGUUUAAGUCUGUUCGACUUUUGAAUCUUUACAUGAUUUGAGUUCAAACCGGUGUAAGCCAGGUUGGUUUCUAUCCUUAAAUUUAUUAUAAUAUUUUAGUACGAAAGGACCAAAUAUUUAAAAUAAUUUUUAUUAAAUGAAUAUUAUUAAAU
RNAcentral lists this ribosomal RNA (1297 nucleotides) under Eumantispa harmandi. Its description in RNAcentral is "16S ribosomal RNA". The stretch from base 1051 to 1210 matches the Rfam family "Archaeal large subunit ribosomal RNA", at positions 2544 to 2703 of the family's 2987-position model. The record is from RNAcentral. Lineage: Eukaryota; Metazoa; Arthropoda; Insecta; Neuroptera; Mantispidae.